RNAcentral lists this ribosomal RNA (468 nucleotides) under uncultured bacterium. RNAcentral's name for it is "partial 16S ribosomal RNA". It matches the Rfam family "Bacterial small subunit ribosomal RNA", at positions 28 to 507 of the family's 1533-position model. The record is from RNAcentral.
GACGAACGCUGGCGGCGUGCCUAACACAUGCAAGUCGAACGGACAGGCCCUGAUUUUGUGGGGUGCUCGAGUGGCGAAGGGGUGAGUAACACGUGAGUAACCCGCCCCUGACUUUGGGAUAUCAUCAGGAAACUGGGGAUAUUAUAGGAUAGGAGCUCUUGCAGCACGGUGGGCGUUGGAAAGUUUCGGCGGUUGGGGCUGGAAUAGCUGGUUACGAGCUUGUUGGUGGGGUAGUGGCUUACAAGGGUUUUGACGGGUAGCCGGCCUGGGAGGGUGAACGGCCACAAUGGGACUGAGGGACGGACCAGAAUGCUACGGGAGGCAGCAGGGGGGAAUAUUGCACAAUGGGCGGGAGUGUGAGGCAGCAACCCCGCGUGCGGGAUGACGGCCUUCGGGUUGUAAACCGCUUUCGCCUGUGACGAAGCCUGAGUGACGGUAAUGGAUAAAAAAGCACCGGCUAACUACGUG